UCAACUUGAAGGGAAAUUGAAAACUUUAAAUAACGUGUUCAUAUAACAACAAAACAUAAGUUCUGUCAAGUUUCUUUCAAAUGCGCAUGUGCCAGAAACUCUACGUCACGAUGACGUACUAUUUUACCGAAUUUGAGACAGACGCGCCAUCCGCCAUUUUCUGCACGAGAAGCUGCUGCAAGAUCACGCAAGAAAAGAUGAUGAAGGAGCCCGCGUUUGAACGACUACAGAAUAAAGAUGGACUUUAUGGACCGCAAAUAAUGAAAUGAGAUCAGUACAGUGGAAGCACAACUCCAUAUCGAUGAGGUGGUGUUGCAAGAUUUGUAUACACCAAAAACCUUCUUGCUUUACUAAGAGAACAUUCAAAAAGUUCGAGUUGAUCCUGUUCCAGAUUCUGUUGACGGCCUCAAGCUUGAACCUAAAAGCAGGCUCCAGCUGAAAGACACUUUUGACCUUCAAUAAGAAGAUGAAGACUUCCAUGAUUUCUGUAACCUUACAUGUGUAGCUGAUCUGUCCAAAGACAAGAUCAGCAAAGAAUUCACCAGGCUUGUGUUAAAGGACCUGAGCAAGUCUGUUUUUGAAGGCCUAGAUGGUCAUCUCUCGAAGCUGAUGCAGUUAUUCAGGUCAAAGCAUUCCAGAAAUGACUUCAAUACUAGAGAGCCUUAAUAAGGAUACAACAAAGGAUGAGGACAGCAGCAUUGCUGGGCCUGCCAUGGUACAUGCGAGAGACUCAAAAUUCAUGAAGAUAUGCAAGCCCAGUGAGCGUGAAGAGGAUUUGAUCAAGGGUGUGGUGAUUGGAAUCCUAAUGGUUGUGGGAAAUGUGAUGGAACCUCUCCCAGCGAUCUACAAUGACGUUGCCCUGGUGAUUGAGGAAGAAGUGGUAAUGCAUCACCUUAGUGAUAUACCUAAUGCUUUUCUGAACCUGAUGGGCCUGGACUAUCCAAACAUUGACUACCCAAAGGAAUUAAAAUUCACUUUUGAAGUGAUACAGCACCCGUUUAUAGGAGUGGGAUCAGACUUUUGCACUGCAAGUGUUCACUCUUUGAAGAGGAGGUUGCUGCGAUAAGAUGGAAAACGAACAAUCUUUUUUCCUUCUUGCUACUGUUUAAAGGAAUAGUUCACCCAGAAAAAUGAAAAUGUGAUGUUUAUCUGCUUAACCCCAGCGCAUCCAAGAUGUAGGUGACUUUGUUUCUUCAGUAGAACACAAAUUAUGAUUUUUAACUCCCAACGGUUGUGGUCU
Molecule: long non-coding RNA, 1240 nt
Organism: Megalobrama amblycephala (Wuchang bream)
Lineage: Eukaryota; Metazoa; Chordata; Actinopteri; Cypriniformes; Xenocyprididae
Exons: 6
Source: RefSeq, a predicted model, not a curated record